UACGUAGGUGGCAAGCGUUGUCCGGAAUUACUGGGCGUAAAGGAUGUGUAGGCGGAUAUUUAAGUGAGAUGUGAAAUCCCCGAGCUCAACUUGGGGGCUGCAUUUCAAACUGGGUAUCUAGAGUGCAGGAGAGGAAAGCGGAAUUCCUAGUGUAGCGGUGAAAUGCGUAGAGAUUAGGAAGAACAUCAGUGGCGAAGGCGGCUUUCUGGACUGUAACUGACGCUGAGGCAUGAAAGCGUGGGGAGCAAAC
Molecule: ribosomal RNA, 250 nt
Filed under: uncultured bacterium
Lineage: Bacteria
Description: partial 16S ribosomal RNA
Rfam family: Bacterial small subunit ribosomal RNA
Source: RNAcentral